AAAAUAAUAAAUAGAAUAAUUAUAAAGAAUAUAUGUUUGCAUUCGUAUAAGAUUCGCCAUUGUUGCACUCACAACUGCUCACCGCUCACUGCUCGCCGGUAACGUAACCGCUUAACGCUCUCAUCACCACUGACCACUAACACUGACAACCACCAAUACCGACCACCACCACCACCACCACCACCACCACCAACCAAGCAACCUACUAGAUAGACAUAAGAAACACCAACCAAGCAACCAAGCACAACUCAACUUAACUCAACUCAACUCUGCUUUGAGCCUCGAAUCUCGACUCGACUCAACUCAACUUAUAUAUUUGGAACAAAGACAGCGCGCUCUUUGAUGACGCUUCUCACAAUGUCGUCAACGUUUUCAUUUGCAAAAUCCGAAUCUGAGCAAUCGAUUAGUACCAAAGCAUAUGAGUUUUUACCAGAAGGUGUCGACGCUAUCGACUUGUUUCAUGUUGUAAUUCAAAUACUUUCGGUAAGUACUUCA
RNAcentral lists this unclassified non-coding RNA (495 nucleotides) under Drosophila mojavensis. RNAcentral describes it as "GI26286". Lineage: Eukaryota; Metazoa; Arthropoda; Insecta; Diptera; Drosophilidae. The record is from RNAcentral.